Molecule: ribosomal RNA, 923 nt
Filed under: uncultured organism
Description: bacterial SSU rRNA
Rfam family: Bacterial small subunit ribosomal RNA
Source: RNAcentral
AAUACGGAGGGAUGCAAGCGUUAUCCGGAUUAGUUGGGUUUAAAGGGUGCGUAGCCGGAAAAUUAAGUCAGUGGUGAAAUCCUGCAGCUUAACUGUAGAAUUGUCAUUGAUACUGGUUUUCUUGAAUACAGUUGAGGUAGNCGGAAUGAGUAAUGUAGCGGUGAAAUGCUUAGAUAUUACUCAGAACACCAAUUGCGAAGGCAGCUUACUAAACUGUGAUUGACGCUGAGGCACGAAAGCGUGGGGAGCGAACAGGAUUAGAUACCCUGGUAGUCCACGCCGUAAACGAUGAUCACUCGUUGUUGGCAAUACACCGUCAGCGACUGAGCGAAAGUAUUAAGUGAUCCACCUGGGGAGUACGAUUGCAAGAUUGAAACUCAAAGGAAUUGACGGGGGCCCGCACAAGCGGAGGAACAUGUGGUUUAAUUCGAUGAUACGCGAGGAACCUUACCUGGGCUUAAAUGCAUAACGACGGAUCGGGAAACUGGUCUUUCUUCGGACGGAAUGCAAGGUGCUGCAUGGCUGUCGUCAGCUCGUGCCGUGAGGUGUCGGGUUAAGUCCCAUAACGAGCGCAACCCUCAUCAUUAGUUGCCAGCGGGUAAUGCCGGGGACUCUAAUGAAACUGCCGGUGUAAACCGAGAGGAAGGCGAGGAUGACGUCAAGUCAGCACGGCCCUUAUGUCCAGGGCUACACACGUGUUACAAUGGUCAGUACAAAGGGCAGCUACCAGGCAACUGGAUGCUAAUCUCAAAAGCUGGUCACAGUUCGGAUCGGAGUCUGCAACUCGACUUCGUGAAGUUGGAUUCGCUAGUAAUCGCGCAUCAGCCAUGGCGCGGUGAUACGUUCCCGGGCACUUGUACACACCGCCCGUCAAGCCAUGGAAGCCGGNGGGUACACUGAAGUUCGUAACCGAGAGGAUCGAC